Molecule: ribosomal RNA, 460 nt
Filed under: uncultured bacterium
Lineage: Bacteria
Description: partial 16S ribosomal RNA
Rfam family: Bacterial small subunit ribosomal RNA
Source: RNAcentral
CCUACGGGAUGCAGCAGUGAGGAAUAUUGGUCAAUGGACGAGAGUCUGAACCAGCCAAGUAGCGUGAAGGAUGACUGCCCUAUGGGUUGUAAACUUCUUUUAAAUGGGAAUAAAACGUUCCAAGUGUGGGAUUUUGUAUGUACCAUAUGAAUAAGGAUCGGCUAACUCCGUGCCAGCAGCCGCGGUAAUACGGAGGAUCCGAGAGUUAUCCGGAUUUAUUGGGUUUAAAGGGAGCGUAGGUGGAUUGUUAAGUCAGUUGUGAAAGUUUGCGGCUCAACCGUAAAAUUGCAGUUGAAACUGGCAGUCUUGAGUACAGUAGAGGUGGGCGGAAUUCGUGGUGUAGAGGUGAAAUGCUUAGAUAUCACGAAGAACUCCGAUUGCGAAGGCAGUUCACUGGACUGCAACUGACACUGAGGCUCGAAAGUGUGGGUAUCAAACAGGAUUAGAUACCCUUGUAGUC